Long non-coding RNA from Erinaceus europaeus (western European hedgehog), 137 nucleotides. RefSeq lists it as uncharacterized. The record is from RefSeq and is a predicted model, not a curated record. The transcript has 2 exons. NCBI's taxonomy places the organism in Eukaryota, Metazoa, Chordata, Mammalia, Eulipotyphla, Erinaceidae.
UGUGAAAACUUGAGGAACUUUCUUUCACUAGAAAAGAUACAAGAACAUUCCACCAAAGGGCAGCAUAUCUUGCAUGGGAGUAAACAAAGGUGAGAGUCACAUUUACAAUAAAACAUGAUGUACCACCUAAGAAACUA